UAAACGUUAAAAAAAAUUAAAAAAAAAAGAAAAAGGUGGAGGAGAGAGACAAAGCAAAUGACGGGAAACGUGGAUAGUUGUCGAAGUUACGUGGAUGCUCAUCAGGCUGUCCUCUCCACUUGAGUGUGUGUUUGCCACUUUCCAAAGAGAAGCACCUGACGGGCUUAGUCGGUGGAGCUUAUGACUCUUGAUCUCGGGGUCGUGAGCUAGAGCUCCACACUGGGUGUAGAAAUCACUUAAACACAUCUUUAAGAAAAGAAAAAAGAAAAUUUCCGAAAAUAAAAAGAUUUUGGUUUAAAAGAAAAAGAGAGAGGGGGGGGGGCCUAUGUGGGCACUGUUCUUCAGGCAGCCGGGGGAGGUACCCACCCCCUGGAGCUUGGGCUUGGUGUGGGGGUGGGGUGGGAUCUGGGAGCGGAGGCUCACCUUGCACCCCCACCUGGAAGCAGCCGUUACUGAAGAGAGGAGAGGAGUGGGCAGCCUUGAACCUGCAGGCCGGGGGCCCCACACCAGGCCUGUGACCAGAAUCACCUGGAGCUUUGGGAAAAGGCAGGUGCUGCAGGCCAGGGGAGGCUUCCUUAGGUGUGGGCCCGGCCGGCCCCUGACACCUGUCCCCAAAGCCCUUCCUUUUCAGCCCCAAACCCCUUGGUCUGCAGAGGAAGCAGGCCUCCCGGCCCGGCCCCUCCCCUGGGGAUGAGCCCAGCAACAGCUUCCUGUGCGGGACUCAGCAAGAGUCCCCAGCCCUGACAGGGUGCCUGCAUGUGCCAGAGGCUCUGGGCUCUGGUGGGUGAACAAGACCGUCGAGAGCCCUGGCCCCGUGGACACUAGGGGCUGCGCACUGAGAAGGAAACUAAAAUGCCCCGCCGGCCCCUCCCGACUUCCAGAGCUCUGAGCAAGGGUCCCUUUGCCAGUGUGGAACCGCAGCCUGUCGUGGGUUCACCGGCCAUGUCGCUGAAGGUCUGUCUGUCACUAGCAGGUCCUGUUGAAAAAUCUUUGCUGAGCCCAUGUCAUGAAUACAUUCUUCUGUUACCUUCUGGAAGCUGUAUCGUUUUAGACAUAGACCAAUAAUCCACGAGAUGCCACCACAAAUCACCAAAAUGUCUGAAAUUAAAGACUGCCAACACCAAGGGUUGAAUUUAGGAGACGAAUGUAAGUGAGCAACGUAACACUUCGGAAAUAAACUGUUUACGUAGUCCAGCAAAUAUGAAUUACGCUCUUAUAAAGGGAUCUCAUGGCACACCUCUUUCAAUUAAUUCAAAUCUAAGACUUGAGAAUUCAAAGAUCCAGAGUUCUGACAUUUAGGGAGAGGUAGUUAGAAGGAUAUCAGCACAUGGUGAGAGUUCAGAUGACUUUUAGUUUGUACCUUUUUUUGUCUGGGCUGAUCCGCAGUAGGUCCCUGUGGGUAUGUCUUAAUACAUGGGGGCCAGGGCGGGGCUCUGGGGAGCCACACGAGUCUCACUAUAAAGGCACCUCCUGGAAAGGAGCAGCACAGGACAGACUGGAGCCCAAACUUUGAAAAUUAAAGACGCAGGGCGCCUGGGUGGCUCAGCCGGUUAAGCGUCCGGCUUUGGCUCAGGUCACGAUCUCAAGGUUUGUGGGUUCGAGCCCCGCGUCGGGCUCUGUGCUGACGGCUCGGAGCCUGGAACCUGCUUCCGAUUCUGUCUCCCUCUCUGCCUUUCCCCGCUCACGCUGUCUCUCAAAAAUAAACAGACAUUACAAAACAAUUUAAAGACGUGUAGGACACCUCAGAAGGCAGAGGGAGUGUUAAGACAUUGACCUUGCUCUAUCCUCCCGGGUCUAGGGCUAUGAGCUUGUUCAAAAGCUAUCAGUCUGUUUCUGACUGUUCAAAUGUUAAGCAUACAUUUUGUGCAUUGUGUGUGCAAUAUGUUUUAAAAAAGAAAAAAAUCAAAGAAGCUCCCGCUGAGACAGAGUUCACUCAGGAGCCCUGAAUUCUGCCAGUGUGAGCCUGGUCGAGCUGUGAGUUCUCAGCUGCUGACCUGCCCAAUUAGGUUUCGCAGUGCCAGCCUUAUGGUCCAGCUCCUCAGGUCCUGGCUGUCUGGGUACCACUGGGUGAAUCUCUGGAUUUCUGUGGAUGUGAAUCUACCUGCCACAAAUGCCAACUUUUGGGCCCAGAAUCUCAAUGAAUUGGGAUGCUUGGGGUCUGGGCCCAGGAAUCUGCACAAAUUUCCUAAUAUUUUCCUUGUAUUUAUACCUUCUAUAUCUUAAAUUAUGUCGUAAGGUCCUCCAAGUUCUUUGCAUCUCAAUAUCCAAGGACAUCACGGCACAUUUGACUUUCUA
This is a long non-coding RNA of Felis catus (domestic cat), 2295 nucleotides long. RefSeq lists it as uncharacterized. Lineage: Eukaryota; Metazoa; Chordata; Mammalia; Carnivora; Felidae. The transcript has 3 exons. The record is from RefSeq and is a predicted model, not a curated record.